This 254-nucleotide ribosomal RNA is filed under the name uncultured bacterium. RNAcentral describes it as "partial 16S ribosomal RNA". It matches the Rfam family "Bacterial small subunit ribosomal RNA", at positions 524 to 776 of the family's 1533-position model. The record is from RNAcentral.
UACGAAGGGGGCUAGCGUUGCUCGGAAUCACUGGGCGUAAAGCGCACGUAGGCGGCUUGUUAAGUCAGGGGUGAAAUCCUGGAGCUCAACUCCAGAACUGCCUUUGAUACUGGCAAGCUUGGAGUCCGGGAGAGGUGAGUGGAACUGCGAGUGUAGAGGUGAAAUUCGUAGAUAUUCGCAAGAACACCAGUGGCGAAGGCGGCUCACUGGCCCGAUACUGACGCUGAGGCACGAAAGCGUGGGGAGCAAACAGG